CUACGGGGUGCACCAGUGAGGAAUAUUGCACAAUGGGGGGAACCCUGAUGCAGCAACGCCGCGUGGAGGAUGACGCAUUUCGGUGUGUAAACUCCUUUUAUAUGUCAAGAAAAUGACGGUAGCAUAUGAAUAAGAACCGGCUAACUCCGUGCCGGCAGCCGCGGUAAUACGGAGGGUGCAAGCGUUACUCGGAAUCACUGGGCGUAAAGGACGCGUAGGCGGGUUGGAAAGUCAGGUGUGAAAUCCUACAGCUUAACUGUAGAACUGCACUUGAAACUUCUAAUCUAGAGUAUGGGAGGGGGAGAUGGAAUUAGUGGUGUAGGGGUAAAAUCCGUAGAUAUCACUAGGAAUACCUAAAGCGAAGGCGAUCUCCUGGAACAUUACUGACGCUAAGGCGUGAAAGCGUGGGGAGCAAACAGGAUUAGAUACCCGGGUAGUC
This 439-nucleotide ribosomal RNA is filed under the name uncultured bacterium. RNAcentral's name for it is "partial 16S ribosomal RNA". It matches the Rfam family "Bacterial small subunit ribosomal RNA", at positions 339 to 795 of the family's 1533-position model. The record is from RNAcentral.